RNAcentral lists this ribosomal RNA (489 nucleotides) under uncultured bacterium. RNAcentral's name for it is "bacterial SSU rRNA". It matches the Rfam family "Bacterial small subunit ribosomal RNA", at positions 30 to 515 of the family's 1533-position model. The record is from RNAcentral.
AUUGAACGCUGGCGGCAGGCCUAACACAUGCAAGUCGAGCGCGAAAGCACUUCGGUGUGAGUAAAGCGGCGGACGGGUGAGUAACGCGUAGGAAUCUACCUAGUAGUGGGGGACAACUCGGGGAAACUCGAGCUAAUACCGCAUACGCCCUACGGGGGAAAGCGGGGGACCUUCGGGCCUCGCGAUAUUAGAUGAGCCUGCGUUGGAUUAGCUAGUUGGUGGGGUAAUGGCCUACCAAGGCGACGAUCCAUAGCUGGUCUGAGAGGAUGAUCAGCCACACCGGGACUGAGACACGGCCCGGACUCCUACGGGAGGCAGCAGUGGGGAAUAUUGCGCAAUGGGCGAAAGCCUGACGCAGCCAUGCCGCGUGUGUGAAGAAGGCCUUCGGGUUGUAAAGCACUUUCAAUUGGGAGGAAAGGUUCACGGUUAAUAACCGUGAGCUGUGACGUUACCUUUAGAAGAAGCACCGGCUAACUCCGUGCCAGCAGG